GACGAACCGUGCAAACGUUAUUCGGAAUCACUGGGCUUAAAGAGUCCGUAGGCGGCGCGUUAGGUGGGGUGUGAAAUCCCUCGGCUCAACCGAGGAAUUGCGCUCCAAACCGGCGUGCUUGAGGAAGGUAGAGGUGAGCGGAACUGAUGGUGGAGCGGUGAAAUGCGUUGAUAUCAUCAGGAACACCGGAGGCGAAGGCGGCUCACUGGGCCUUAUCUGACGCUGAGGGACGAAAGCUAGGGUAGCGAACGGG
This 253-nucleotide ribosomal RNA is filed under the name uncultured Pasteuria sp. RNAcentral's name for it is "partial 16S ribosomal RNA". It matches the Rfam family "Bacterial small subunit ribosomal RNA", at positions 524 to 776 of the family's 1533-position model. Lineage: Bacteria; Bacillati; Bacillota; Bacilli; Caryophanales; Pasteuriaceae. The record is from RNAcentral.